AUUGAACGCUGGCGGCAGGCCUAACACAUGCAAGUCGAACGAGCGGCGGACGGGUGAGUAAUGUCUGGGCAACUGCCCGAUGGAGGGGGAUAACUACUGGAAACGGUAGCUAAUACCGCAUACCAUCGGAUGUGCCCAUAUGGGAUUAGCUAGUAGGUGGGGUAAAGGCUCACCUAGGCGACGAUCCCUAGCUGGUCUGAGAGGAUGAACAGCCACACUGGAACUGAGACACGGUCCAGACUCCUACGGGAGGCAGCAGUAGGGAAUAUUGCGCAAUGGGCGCAAGCCUGAUGCAGCCAUGCCGCGUGUAUGAAGAAGGCCUUAGGGUUGUAAAGUACUUUCAGCGGGGAGGCGUUACCCGCAGAAGAAGCACCGGCUAACUCCGUGCCAGCAGCCGCGGUAAUAC
This 406-nucleotide ribosomal RNA is filed under the name uncultured bacterium. RNAcentral's name for it is "partial 16S ribosomal RNA". It matches the Rfam family "Bacterial small subunit ribosomal RNA", at positions 30 to 526 of the family's 1533-position model. The record is from RNAcentral.